UAGGGAAUCUUCCGCAAUGGGCGAAAGCUUGACGGAGCAACGCCGCGUGAGUGAUGAAGGUCUUCGGAUCGUAAAACUCUGUUAUGAGGGAAGAACAAAUGUGGAAGUAACUAUGCACGUCUUGACGGUACCUAAUCAGAAAGCCACGGCUAACUACGUGCCAGCAGCCGCGGUAAUACGUAGGUGGCAAGCGUUAUCCGGAAUUAUUGGGCGUAAAGCGCGCGUAGGCGGUUUUUUAAGUCUGAUGUGAAAGCCCACGGCUCAACCGUGGAGGGUCAUUGGAAACUGGAACACUUGAGUGCAGAAGAGGAAAGUGGAAUUCCAUGUGUAGCGGUGAAAUGCGCAGUGAUAUGGAGGAACACCAGUGGCGAAGGCGACUUUCUGGUCUGUAACUGACGCUGAUGUGCGAAAGCGUGGGGAUCAAACAGG
RNAcentral lists this ribosomal RNA (429 nucleotides) under Actinomycetes bacterium. RNAcentral's name for it is "Actinobacteria bacterium partial 16S ribosomal RNA". It matches the Rfam family "Bacterial small subunit ribosomal RNA", at positions 355 to 776 of the family's 1533-position model. The record is from RNAcentral. Lineage: Bacteria; Bacillati; Actinomycetota; Actinomycetes.